GUGGUCCUACGGGAGGCAGCAGUCGAGAAUCAUUCACAAUGGGGGGAACCCUGAUGCAGCGACGCCGCGUGAAGGAAGAAGUAUUUCGGUAUGUAAACUUCUAUCAGCAGGGAAGAAAAUGACGGUACCUGACUAAGAAGCCCCGGCUAACUACGUGCCAGCAGCCGCGGUAAUACGUAGGGGGCAAGCGUUAUCCGGAUUUACUGGGUGUAAAGGGAGCGUAGGCGGCGAUGCAAGUCAGAAGUGAAAGCCCGGGGCUCAACUCCGGGACUGCUUUUGAAACUGUGUUGCUAGAUUGCAGGAGA
Molecule: ribosomal RNA, 305 nt
Filed under: uncultured bacterium
Lineage: Bacteria
Description: bacterial SSU rRNA
Rfam family: Bacterial small subunit ribosomal RNA
Source: RNAcentral